This 474-nucleotide ribosomal RNA is filed under the name uncultured bacterium. RNAcentral's name for it is "SSU rRNA". It matches the Rfam family "Bacterial small subunit ribosomal RNA", at positions 26 to 518 of the family's 1533-position model. The record is from RNAcentral.
AGGACGAACGCUGGCGGCGUGCUUAACACAUGCAAGUCGAGCGGAAAGGCCCUUCGGGGUACUCGAGCGGCGAACGGGUGAGUAACACGUGAGUAAUCUGCCCCUAGCUCUGGGAUAGCUCCGGGAAGCCGGGAUUAAUACCAGAUACGACCACUUUAGACAUCUGUUGUGGUGGAAAGAAUUUUGGCUAGGGAUGAGCUCGCGGCCUAUCAGCUUGUUGGUGAGGUAACGGCUCACCAAGGCGACGACGGGUAGCCGGCCUGAGAGGGCGACCGGCCACACUGGGACUGAGACACGGCCCAGACUCCUACGGGAGGCAGCAGUGGGGAAUAUUGCGCAAUGGGCGAAAGCCUGACGCAGCGACGCCGCGUGGGGGAUGAAGGCCUUCGGGUUGUAAACCCCUUUCAGCAGGGACGAAGCGAAAGUGACGGUACCUGCAGAAGAAGCGCCGGCUAACUACGUGCCAGCAGCCGC